GACGAACGCUGGCGGCGUGCUUAACACAUGCAAGUCGAACGGAAAGGCCCUGCUUUUGUGGGGUGCUCGAGUGGCGAACGGGUGAGUAACACGUGAGUAACCUGCCCUUGACUUUGGGAUAACUUCAGGAAACUGGGGCUAAUACCGGAUAGGAGCUCCUGCUGCAUGGUGGGGGUUGGAAAGUUUCGGCGGUUGGGGAUGGACUCGCGGCUUAUCAGCUUGUUGGUGGGGUAGUGGCUUACCAAGGCUUUGACGGGUAGCCGGCCUGAGAGGGUGACCGGGCACAUUGGGACUGAGAUACGGACCAGAGUCCUACGGGAGGCAGCAGUGGGGAAUAUUGCACAAUGGGCGGAAGCCUGAUGCAGCAACGCCGCGUGCGGGAUGACGGCCUUCGGGUUGUAAACCGCUUUCGCCUGUGACGAAGCGUGAGUGACGGUAAUGGGUAAAGAAGCACCGGCUAACUACGUG
This 468-nucleotide ribosomal RNA is filed under the name uncultured bacterium. RNAcentral describes it as "partial 16S ribosomal RNA". It matches the Rfam family "Bacterial small subunit ribosomal RNA", at positions 28 to 507 of the family's 1533-position model. The record is from RNAcentral.